GAUGAACGCUGGCGGCGUGCCUAAUACAUGCAAGUCGAGCGAACAGACGAGGAGCUUGCUCCUCUGACGUUAGCGGCGGACGGGUGAGUAACACGUGGAUAACCUACCUAUAAGACUGGGAUAACUUCGGGAAACCGGAGCUAAUACCGGAUAAUAUAUUGAACCGCAUGGUUCAAUAGUGAAAGACGGUUUUGCUGUCACUUAUAGAUGGAUCCGCGCCGCAUUAGCUAGUUGGUAAGGUAACGGCUUACCAAGGCAACGAUGCGUAGCCGACCUGAGAGGGUGAUCGGCCACACUGGAACUGAGACACGGUCCAGACUCCUACGGGAGGCAGCAGUAGGGAAUCUUCCGCAAUAGGCGAAAGCUUGACGGAGCAACGCCGCGUGAGUGAUGAAGGUCUUCGGAUCGUAAAACUCUGUUAUUAGGGAAGAACAAAUGUGUAAGUAACUAUGCACGUCUUGACGGUACCUUAUCAGAAAGCCACGGCUAACUACGUG
RNAcentral lists this ribosomal RNA (497 nucleotides) under uncultured bacterium. Its description in RNAcentral is "partial 16S ribosomal RNA". It matches the Rfam family "Bacterial small subunit ribosomal RNA", at positions 28 to 507 of the family's 1533-position model. The record is from RNAcentral.